UAUGAGAGUUUGAUCCUGGCUCAGGACGAACGCUGGCGGCGUGCCUAAUACAUGCAAGUCGAACGCUUCUUUUUCCAUCGGAGCUUGCUCCACCGGAAAAAGAGGAGUGGCGAACGGGUGAGUAACACGUGGGUAACCUGCCCAUCAGAAGGGGAUAACACUUGGAAACAGGUGCUAAUACCGUAUAACAAUCGAAACCGCAUGGUUUUGAUUUGAAAGGCGCUUUCGGGUGUCGCUGAUGGAUGGACCCGCGGUGCAUUAGCUAGUUGGUGAGGUAACGGCUCACCAAGGCGACGAUGCAUAGCCGACCUGAGAGGGUGAUCGGCCACAUUGGGACUGAGACACGGCCCAAACUCCUACGGGAGGCAGCAGUAGGGAAUCUUCGGCAAUGGACGAAAGUCUGACCGAGCAACGCCGCGUGAGUGAAGAAGGUUUUCGGAUCGUAAAACUCUGUUGUUAGAGAAGAACAAGGAUGAGAGUAACUGUUCAUCCCUUGACGGUAUCUAACCAGAAAGCCACGGCUAACUACGUGCCAGCAGCCGCGGUAAUACGUAGGUGGCAAGCGUUGUCCGGAUUUAUUGGGCGUAAAGCGAGCGCAGGCGGUUUCUUAAGUCUGAUGUGAAAGCCCCCGGCUCAACCGGGGAGGGUCAUUGGAAACUGGGAGACUUGAGUGCAGAAGAGGAGAGUGGAAUUCCAUGUGUAGCGGUGAAAUGCGUAGAUAUAUGGAGGAACACCAGUGGCGAAGGCGGCUCUCUGGUCUGUAACUGACGCUGAGGCUCGAAAGCGUGGGGAGCAAACAGGAUUAGAUACCCUGGUAGUCCACGCCGUAAACGAUGAGUGCUAAGUGUUGGAGGGUUUCCGCCCUUCAGUGCUGCAGCUAACGCAUUAAGCACUCCGCCUGGGGAGUACGACCGCAAGGUUGAAACUCAAAGGAAUUGACGGGGGCCCGCACAAGCGGUGGAGCAUGUGGUUUAAUUCGAAGCAACGCGAAGAACCUUACCAGGUCUUGACAUCCUUUGACCACUCUAGAGAUAGAGCUUCCCCUUCGGGGGCAAAGUGACAGGUGGUGCAUGGUUGUCGUCAGCUCGUGUCGUGAGAUGUUGGGUUAAGUCCCGCAACGAGCGCAACCCUUAUUGUUAGUUGCCAUCAUUUAGUUGGGCACUCUAGCAAGACUGCCGGUGACAAACCGGAGGAAGGUGGGGAUGACGUCAAAUCAUCAUGCCCCUUAUGACCUGGGCUACACACGUGCUACAAUGGGAAGUACAACGAGUCGCAAAGUCGCGAGGCUAAGCUAAUCUCUUAAAGCUUCUCUCAGUUCGGAUUGUAGGCUGCAACUCGCCUACAUGAAGCCGGAAUCGCUAGUAAUCGCGGAUCAGCACGCCGCGGUGAAUACGUUCCCGGGCCUUGUACACACCGCCCGUCACACCACGAGAGUUUGUAACACCCGAAGUCGGUGAGGUAACCUUUUGGAGCCAGCCGCCUAAGGUGGGAUAGAUGAUUGGGGUGAAGUCGUAACAAGGUAGCCGUAUCGGAAGGUGCGGCUGGAUCACCUCCUUU
Molecule: ribosomal RNA, 1557 nt
Filed under: Enterococcus hirae
Lineage: Bacteria; Bacillati; Bacillota; Bacilli; Lactobacillales; Enterococcaceae
Description: bacterial SSU rRNA
Rfam family: Bacterial small subunit ribosomal RNA
Source: RNAcentral